Columba livia (rock pigeon) is the source of this 1022-nucleotide long non-coding RNA. RefSeq lists it as uncharacterized. The transcript has 3 exons. NCBI's taxonomy places the organism in Eukaryota, Metazoa, Chordata, Aves, Columbiformes, Columbidae. The record is from RefSeq and is a predicted model, not a curated record.
CUGACUGGCAAGGUACGUGGCUUUUUUGUUACACAGUGUGUUUUUAUCUCACAAACUGCUGCUGUACUGAAAAACACUUUGAUGUGUUUCAUCAUGCCCACUGAUGUCUUACAGACCUUUGGUGGCUGAGGAUCCUGGCCUGCUCAGUGCUGCACCAAAGCAUGAGUGGCUAUACUAGACUGAGGUAAAACAUGGGAAGUCACAAGGUCUCCUUGUACUGACCAGUGGAAAGACUAGUAGGCAAACAAAACAACGAGUUAUUCACACUAGUGCCUGGUAACUGAGCAACAAUGUAAUUUACUGGAGACAUCUACCUUGCACAAGAGAACAGCAUCUGGUAAAGUGCAUGCAACAGGUAUUAUGGCUUUUUGUCACUCUCAUAAAUGGGAAAAGUCUAAAUGUUUGUUAUUAAUGUUAUUAAGCAAUUGUGGAACUCAGAAAUUGAAAGGAAGCCAGACUCCACAACCCCCCUGGGCAGCCUGUUUCAGUGCUCUGUCACCCUCACCUUGAAGAAGUUUCUUCUCAAAUUUAAGUGGAACCUCUUGUGUUCCAGUUUAUACACAUUGUCCCUUGUCUUAUCAUUGGUUAUCACCAAGAAGAGCCUGGCAAAUCUUUUCAUAUGGACUUACACACCAGUACAAACAUGUAAAAUUACAAUGUAACUCCUCAGAAAAGAUUGGUUGUGGGUUUCUUUACUGAGAAUAUUUCAUUUCUUCCUUAGGCUGCUAACAUUUGUUAUGCACAAUAACUAAGGGUUUUUUCUAAGAUCAAGGUUAAGGAACUUUGUCAGUGAUAAAAAUAGUUUUCUAACUGCUACACUGAAUGGUGCUAAUUGCACACUACUUAGUGCCAGGUUCUUGAAAUUUGAAUUAUGAAUAGUUCUGCUGUCAGAGAGAUUCCACAAUCUCAUAUUUCACUCUUGUUUGUAUGAUAAAACACUAAUUCUGCUUAAGAGGUCUUGUAAAAGGAGCCACAAUGCCUUGAUUUUGUUAACAUUACAUCUGAAUAAUAGCUGGAUAGAC